Mirounga angustirostris (Northern elephant seal) is the source of this 96-nucleotide small nuclear RNA. RefSeq annotates it as U4atac minor spliceosomal RNA. The transcript has a single exon. NCBI's taxonomy places the organism in Eukaryota, Metazoa, Chordata, Mammalia, Carnivora, Phocidae. The record is from RefSeq and is a predicted model, not a curated record.
GCCAUCCUUUUCUUGGGGUUGCGCUACUGUCCAAUGAACGUCUAGUGAGGGCAGUACUGCUAACGUCCCACAUCAGGCUCCCUGCUCCUUGGGAGC